RNAcentral lists this unclassified non-coding RNA (253 nucleotides) under Hevea brasiliensis (rubber tree). Lineage: Eukaryota; Viridiplantae; Streptophyta; Magnoliopsida; Malpighiales; Euphorbiaceae. The record is from RNAcentral.
GCAUAGCGGGAUAAAUAGAGCAUAUUGGUAGAAACUGGACCCGUGUCUCUAAUCCUAAGGAUUGUUGGCUGUCUGACAAUCAAUCCUCGUUUUUCAAGCUUCCUCACUAUGUAGAACAUGUCGUUGCCUUUGAUCUUAAAGUCUUUGCCAAGCUCAUUUUGUGCUACUCCUUUUCCUCUAACAGUAGCAAGGUAACGAAGAACACGCCAUUCACGGUCAGAAAGUUUAGCAUCGGAAGCAUCAAUAUCAUAAA